AACUAAAAUAAUACCUACGUGCUAGAAUGUACCACGGCGAACUGCAUUCAAGCUGUCAUUCCCCAUUCAACACCACCAGAUAAAAUCCACAGUCCAUGUACAUUCCCCUAUAUAAAAAAAAGGAAGUGGGAUGAGAAUGACACAAAGUCGAUACGGCUUCCUUUGAGCCUUGACUUGUAGAAACUUCGCGAGUUUGCCCGACUUAAUUUUCCCAGAUCAAAUUGUCCAACCUCUCCGCAAAUUUCUUUGGAACUCUUUGUUUUCUGUCAGCGCGUGAUGGAUGCCUUCGAGACCUUCGUCAUUUUUAACUGCAGAAAAUGUUUGGCCCACAUCCACGUGUUUAUGUAAGGUCUUGCAUCACAAGUUUUCAAUGGUCUCGUUCGAUUCAGUUUCGAUCUGACGGCUGCUUAGCCAUGGCGAUUUUCUCAAGAUGCACGAGUUUAGCAAAAUCUACAGCCAUUUCGAAACUCGGAAUUCUGUCGGCGGUUACCGACAUGAAUCAAGUUCUGUGUAUGUUUAUUAUCGCACGGACGAUUCGACAGGCUUUCAAAAGUUUAUAGAGCUUGGAGCGAGAAAGGGUUUUACACGGCCGAGACGCGGAGUAUUGAUGGACAGUAUUAUAAUGCUAGAGAUGUACUAGAUUUACAAUAAAGACUGUUUUUGUAGUAGAA
Molecule: long non-coding RNA, 671 nt
Organism: Zophobas morio
Lineage: Eukaryota; Metazoa; Arthropoda; Insecta; Coleoptera; Tenebrionidae
Exons: 2
Source: RefSeq, a predicted model, not a curated record